RNAcentral lists this ribosomal RNA (1576 nucleotides) under Salmonella enterica. RNAcentral describes it as "partial 23S ribosomal RNA". It matches the Rfam family "Bacterial large subunit ribosomal RNA", at positions 1243 to 2802 of the family's 2925-position model. The record is from RNAcentral. Lineage: Bacteria; Pseudomonadati; Pseudomonadota; Gammaproteobacteria; Enterobacterales; Enterobacteriaceae. RNAcentral also lists the same sequence under 2 other names.
UAAGCCUGCGAAGGUGGCCUGUGAGGGUUGCUGGAGGUAUCAGAAGUGCGAAUGCUGACAUAAGUAACGAUAAAGCGGGUGAAAAGCCCGCUCGCCGGAAGACCAAGGGUUCCUGUCCAACGUUAAUCGGGGCAGGGUGAGUCGACCCCUAAGGCGAGGCCGAAAGGCGUAGUCGAUGGGAAACGGGUUAAUAUUCCCGUACUUGGUGUUACUGCGAAGGGGGGACGGAGAAGGCUAUGUUGGCCGGGCGACGGUUGUCCCGGUUUAAGCGUGUAGGUGUGUGUUCCAGGUAAAUCCGGUUCACUUUAACACUGAGGCGUGACGACGAGGCACUACGGUGCUGAAGCAACAAAUGCCCUGCUUCCAGGAAAAGCCUCUAAGCAUCAGGUAACAUCAAAUCGUACCCCAAACCGACACAGGUGGUCAGGUAGAGAAUACCAAGGCGCUUGAGAGAACUCGGGUGAAGGAACUAGGCAAAAUGGUGCCGUAACUUCGGGAGAAGGCACGCUGACACGUAGGUGAAGUGAUUUACUCAUGGAGCUGAAGUCAGUCGAAGAUACCAGCUGGCUGCAACUGUUUAUUAAAAACACAGCACUGUGCAAACACGAAAGUGGACGUAUACGGUGUGACGCCUGCCCGGUGCCGGAAGGUUAAUUGAUGGGGUCAGCGCAAGCGAAGCUCCUGAUCGAAGCCCCGGUAAACGGCGGCCGUAACUAUAACGGUCCUAAGGUAGCGAAAUUCCUUGUCGGGUAAGUUCCGACCUGCACGAAUGGCGUAAUGAUGGCCAGGCUGUCUCCACCCGAGACUCAGUGAAAUUGAACUCGCUGUGAAGAUGCAGUGUACCCGCGGCAAGACGGAAAGACCCCGUGAACCUUUACUAUAGCUUGACACUGAACAUUGAGCCUUGAUGUGUAGGAUAGGUGGGAGGCUUUGAAGUGUGGACGCCAGUCUGCAUGGAGCCGGCCUUGAAAUACCACCCUUUAAUGUUUGAUGUUCUAACGUGGACCCGUGAUCCGGGUUGCGGACAGUGUCUGGUGGGUAGUUUGACUGGGGCGGUCUCCUCCUAAAGAGUAACGGAGGAGCACGAAGGUUGGCUAAUCCUGGUCGGACAUCAGGAGGUUAGUGCAAUGGCAUAAGCCAGCUUGACUGCGAGCGUGACGGCGCGAGCAGGUGCGAAAGCAGGUCAUAGUGAUCCGGUGGUUCUGAAUGGAAGGGCCAUCGCUCAACGGAUAAAAGGUACUCCGGGGAUAACAGGCUGAUACCGCCCAAGAGUUCAUAUCGACGGCGGUGUUUGGCACCUCGAUGUCGGCUCAUCACAUCCUGGGGCUGAAGUAGGUCCCAAGGGUAUGGCUGUUCGCCAUUUAAAGUGGUACGCGAGCUGGGUUUAGAACGUCGUGAGACAGUUCGGUCCCUAUCUGCCGUGGGCGCUGGAGAACUGAGGGGGGCUGCUCCUAGUACGAGAGGACCGGAGUGGACGCAUCACUGGUGUUCGGGUUGUCAUGCCAAUGGCACUGCCCGGUAGCUAAAUGCGGAAGAGAUAAGUGCUGAAAGCAUCUAAGCACGAAACUUGCCCCGA